CAGUCGCCGCGGGAAUACGAAGGGGGCUAGCGUUGUUCGGAUUUACUGGGCGUAAAGCGCACGUAGGCGGACUUUUAAGUCAGGGGUGAAAUCCCGGGGCUCAAACCGGGAACUGCCUUUGAUACUGGAAGUCUUGAGUAUGGUAGAGGUGAGUGGAAUUCCGAGUGUAGAGGUGAAAUUCGUAGAUAUUCGGAGGAACACCAGUGGCGAAGGCGGCUCACUGGACCAUUACUGACGCUGAGGUGCGAAAGCGUGGGGAGCAAACAGGAUUAGAUACCCCUGUAGUCCCUGUCUCUUAUAA
RNAcentral lists this ribosomal RNA (301 nucleotides) under uncultured bacterium. RNAcentral's name for it is "partial 16S ribosomal RNA". It matches the Rfam family "Bacterial small subunit ribosomal RNA", at positions 509 to 809 of the family's 1533-position model. The record is from RNAcentral.